This 460-nucleotide ribosomal RNA is filed under the name uncultured bacterium. RNAcentral's name for it is "partial 16S ribosomal RNA". It matches the Rfam family "Bacterial small subunit ribosomal RNA", at positions 338 to 795 of the family's 1533-position model. The record is from RNAcentral.
CCUACGGGAGGCAGCAGUGAGGAAUAUUGGUCAAUGGACGAGAGUCUGAACCAGCCAAGUAGCGUGAAGGAUGACUGCCCUAUGGGUUGUAAACUUCUUGUAUAUGGGAAUAAAACGUUCCACGUGUGGGAUUUUGUAUGUACCAUAUGAAUAAGGAUCGGCUAACUCCGUGCCAGCAGCCGCGGUAAUACGGAGGAUCCGAGCGUUUUCCGGAUUUAUUGGGUUUAAAGGGAGCGUAGGUGGAUUGUUAAGUCAGUUGUGAAAGUUUGCGGCUCAACCGUAAAAUUGCAGUUGAAACUGGCAGUCUUGAGUACAGUAGAGGUGGGCGGAAUUCGUGGUGUAGCGGUGAAAUGCUUAGAUAUCACGAAGAACUCCGAUUGCGAAGGCAGUUCACUGGACUGCAACUGACACUGAGGCUCGAAAGUGUGGGUAUCAAACAGGAUUAGAUACCCUGGUAGUC